This is a long non-coding RNA of Pongo pygmaeus (Bornean orangutan), 479 nucleotides long. RefSeq lists it as uncharacterized. Lineage: Eukaryota; Metazoa; Chordata; Mammalia; Primates; Hominidae. The transcript has 3 exons. The record is from RefSeq and is a predicted model, not a curated record.
CCUGCAUUUCAGCCAAGUCUGGCCUCCCAUUGUAUUCAAUUGGACUUUCUGCCUUGAGCAAGAAAAAGGAAUUGUUUAUCAGAUUUGCCAAAGGAUCUCCAGGGAGGUGAAGAAAGACAGGAUACACAAACCUACAACAAGCAAGGGUUUUAAAUGCUUGUGUGCAGCCACAUCUGGAAUGUCAUAUGAUCUCUCUUCAACUGGAAUGACAGGAGCUGAAAGAAAUGUGCAACCAUGAGGACACUGUAACCUAUAAAUGAUGUGCUGUGACUGGAAACCCAAAAUAACGAGACCAUCGAGCUUCAGAUGAUCAUGCAACAAAAGUUCCAGCCAGUUCCAGGUGAAGACACCACCCCUGGCCAUUCAGAAGCUACCCUGCCUCCACUACACAGAGCAGGGUGAGAGUUCCAUGAACCCAAAUAGGUAGGGACUAUGCCCCAAGCCAGCAUGAAGCAGUUACAGAAGAAAGACCAUUGUCC